AUAACGGUCCUAAGGUAGCGAAAUUCCUUGUCGGGUAAGUUCCGACCCGCACGAAAGGCGUAACGAUUUGGGCACUGUCUCAACGAGAGACUCGGUGAAAUCAUAGUACCUGUGAAGAUGCAGGUUACCCGCGACAGGACGGAAAGACCCCGUGGAGCUUUACUGUAGCCUGAUAUUGAAAUUCGGCACAGCUUGUACAGGAUAGGUAGGAGCCUUUGAAACGUGAGCGCUAGCUUACGUGGAGGCGCUGGUGGGAUACUACCCUAGCUGUGUUGGCUUUCUAACCCGCACCACUUAUCGUGGUGGGAGACAGUGUCAGGCGGGCAGUUUGACUGGGGCGGUCGCCUCCUAAAAGGUAACGGAGGCGCUCAAAGGUUCCCUCAGAAUGGUUGGAAAUCAUUCAUAGAGUGUAAAGGCAUAAGGGAGCUUGACUGCGAGACCUACAAGUCGAGCAGGGUCGAAAGACGGACUUAGUGAUCCGGUGGUUCCGCAUGGAAGGGCCAUCGCUCAACGGAUAAAAGCUACCCCGGGGAUAACAGGCUUAUCUCCCCCAAGAGUUCACAUCGACGGGGAGGUUUGGCACCUCGAUGUCGGCUCAUCGCAUCCUGGGGCUGUAGUCGGUCCCAAGGGUUGGGCUGUUCGCCCAUUAAAGCGGUACGCGAGCUGGGUUCAGAACGUCGUGAGACAGUUCGGUCCCUAUCCGUCGUGGGCGUAGGAAAUUUGAGAGGAGCUGUCCUUAGUACGAGAGGACCGGGAUGGACAUACCUCUGGUGUACCAGUUGUCGUGCCAACGGCAUAGCUGGGUAGCUAUGUGUGGACGGGAUAAGUGCUGAAAGCAUCUAAGCAUGAAGCCCCCCUCAAGAUGAGAUUUCCCAACUUCGGUUAUAAGAUCCCUCAAAGAUGAUGAGGUUAAUAGGUUCGAGGUGGAAGCAUGGUGACAUGUGGAGCUGACGAAUACUAAUCAAUCGAAGACUUAAUCAA
This 981-nucleotide ribosomal RNA is filed under the name Staphylococcus aureus. RNAcentral's name for it is "partial 23S ribosomal RNA". It matches the Rfam family "Bacterial large subunit ribosomal RNA", at positions 1942 to 2925 of the family's 2925-position model. The record is from RNAcentral. Lineage: Bacteria; Bacillati; Bacillota; Bacilli; Caryophanales; Staphylococcaceae.